AGAGAGAGACAUGCGCGCAUAUCAAUAAGCGGAGGAAAAGAAACUAACAAGGAUUCCCUUAGUAACGGCGAGUGAAGCGGGAAGAGCUCAAAUUUGAAAUCUUCAAGGUUUUACCUUGACGAAUUGUAGUUUAAAGAAGUGUUUUCUGCUGAAGUUUUGGUAAAAGUUCUUUGGAAUAGGACAUCAUAGAGGGUGAGAAUCCCGUAUUUGACCAUUAUUUCCAGCUUUGUGAUACACUUUCAAAGAGUCGGAUUGUUUGGGAAUGCAGUCCAAAAUGGGUGGUAAAUUUCAUCUAAAGCUAAAUAUUGGCGAGAGACCGAUAGCGAACAAGUACCGUGAGGGAAAGAUGAAAAGAACUUUGAAAAGAGAGUUAAACAGUACGUGAAAUUGUCAAAAGGGAAGCGUUUGACACCAGUGUUGUUUUCUCGAAAAUCAAUUAAAAAUGGCUCGAUUUUGUAUUGUUGAGACCUUAAAAGCUCACUGUACAUUUUUCGUGUCUUUUUUAAUGCACUUUUCGUUUAACAAGUCAACAUCAGUUUCUUUUGUUGUAAAAGGGUCAUUGGAAGGUGGCUUUCCUUUCGGAGAAAGUGUUUAUAGCCUUUGGCCUCUGCAAUCGGAGAGACUGAGGUCUGCAGCGUAGAUCCUUCGGGGUUAGAUACAUUUGUGCUAAGUUAUAGCCUUUUCAUAGACAACUUGUUGACUAUAAUCAGUCAUGUAGCUUACUCGCUUAUGCUAUUUUACCUACGCUUAGGAUGUUGAAGAUGUAGCACAUCAU
RNAcentral lists this ribosomal RNA (775 nucleotides) under uncultured Neocallimastigales. RNAcentral describes it as "partial large subunit ribosomal RNA". It matches the Rfam family "Eukaryotic large subunit ribosomal RNA", at positions 23 to 634 of the family's 3401-position model. Lineage: Eukaryota; Fungi; Neocallimastigomycota; Neocallimastigomycetes; Neocallimastigales. The record is from RNAcentral.